ACCUGGCUGGCUCAGUCAGUAGAGCAUACGACUCUUGAUCUCAGGGUUGUGAGUUUGAGCCCCAUGUUGGGUG
This 73-nucleotide transfer RNA is filed under the name Canis lupus familiaris (dog). It matches the Rfam family "tRNA". Rfam says of the family: Transfer RNA (tRNA) molecules are approximately 80 nucleotides in length. Their secondary structure includes four short double-helical elements and three loops (D, anti-codon, and T loops). Lineage: Eukaryota; Metazoa; Chordata; Mammalia; Carnivora; Canidae. RNAcentral also lists the same sequence under 1 other name. The record is from Rfam by way of RNAcentral.